Molecule: unclassified non-coding RNA, 292 nt
Filed under: Hevea brasiliensis (rubber tree)
Lineage: Eukaryota; Viridiplantae; Streptophyta; Magnoliopsida; Malpighiales; Euphorbiaceae
Source: RNAcentral
AAAGCUUUUGCUUGUUACAGUGUCUUUUUAUCUAAAUCUCAUUGGAAAGACUUAUUUGAGCUUGGACGGUUUCCUUAGGUUCCAGGGUUGAACUUCAAAACUUGGAAAAGGCGACUUAGCAAGCUCGUGCUAUUUUCCAAGUUGCAGUAUUAUGGAUCUAAAGUUCUGCCUUGUGCAAUAUAUUUUUAUCAUCCUGAUUAUGAUUAUCAGUCAUCUUCUUUGUGUCAUUAUUUUGUUCUAUUGGAUUGGCACUAUCGAUUGCUUAUUUUUGUUUUUGCUUUGGCAAUUAUCA